Mugil cephalus (flathead mullet) is the source of this 479-nucleotide long non-coding RNA. RefSeq lists it as uncharacterized. The transcript has 3 exons. The record is from RefSeq and is a predicted model, not a curated record. NCBI's taxonomy places the organism in Eukaryota, Metazoa, Chordata, Actinopteri, Mugiliformes, Mugilidae.
GAAGGCAGCCUCCGCAAGUGAACAUGUCACCCGCUGGGCUGAUCAGGAUCUAAAUUUAGUCAAGGUUGACGCCCCUUGAUGUUGUCAAAUGAACGUGUUUUGGUGUUUACAGGAGCCCUUGAGUCGCUCGGGAGGACUUUGAAGAGCAAGAGCGCCGUUGCUGAGGGGGAGCACUGUGUGGGAUUGACACAAGACAUAGGCAAGCCAAAACCAGCCCUGUGCGUCUAUAUUUACCACUGCAGAACCUGCCAGUGCCUGCGUGUGUGGGACGACAGCAGGCAUAUUGCUUCAAUAGGAAAACAUUGUCAGGGCUACUCGAUGAGAUGAGCCGAGGAACGAGCUGAAGACUACUGUCUCAGGCGCUCCAGCUGAUCCGGGCUGAGUUCUUCGUAUCCGCUCUGGAUGGAGGACAUGUAAGCAGGAGGCAGCGAGCUGACCGGGUCACGAAGUGAGGCUCCCGUGAAGUCGUGGGUCAUGGA